AGAGUUUGAUUCUGGCUCAGGAUGAACGCUAGCGGCAGGCUUAACACAUGCAAGUCGAGGGGCAGCGUGGAGUAGCAAUACUCUGACGGCGACCGGCGAAAGGGUGAGUAACGCGUGAGCAACAUGCCCCGGUAGUGGAGGAUAGUCGAUGGAAACGUCGCGUAAUACUCCGUAACAACAUUGACCGCAUGAUCGAUGUUUAAUAGAUUUAUUGCUAUCGGAUUGGCUCGCGUACCAUUAGCUAGUUGGCGGGGUAACGGCCCACCAAGGCGACGAUGGUUAGGGGUUCUGAGAGGAACGGUCCCCCACAUUGGAACUGAGACACGGUCCAGACUCCUACGGGAGGCAGCAGUGAGGAAUAUUGGACAAUGGCCGGAAGGCUGAUCCAACGCCAUGCCGCGUGGCGGGAAGACCGGCCCUAGUGGGUUAGUAAACUGUCUUUGCCGGGGAAUAAAGUUCGGGACGCGUCCCGUUUUGUAUGUACCCGGAGAAUAAGGACCGGCUAAUUCCGUGCCAGCCGCCGC
This 524-nucleotide ribosomal RNA is filed under the name uncultured bacterium. Its description in RNAcentral is "bacterial SSU rRNA". It matches the Rfam family "Bacterial small subunit ribosomal RNA", at positions 8 to 518 of the family's 1533-position model. The record is from RNAcentral.